Molecule: ribosomal RNA, 510 nt
Filed under: uncultured bacterium
Lineage: Bacteria
Description: bacterial SSU rRNA
Rfam family: Bacterial small subunit ribosomal RNA
Source: RNAcentral
GACGAACGCUGGCGGCGUGGAUUAGGCAUGCAAGUCGAACGGUAUCAUCCUUUCGGGGGUGAGAGAGUGGCGAACUGGUGAGUAACACGUAGGUUAUCUACCCUCAAGACGGGGACAACCCAGGGAAACUUGGGCUAAUACCGGAUGUGAGCAACUUUUAGUUGUUUGAAAGGUGGCGUAAGCUGUCGCUUGGGGAUGAGCCCGCGUCCUAUUAGUUAGUUGGUGAGGUAACGGCUCACCUAGGCAAUGAUAGGUAGGCGGCCUUAACGGGUGGUCGCCCACACUGGGAUUGAGAUACGGCCCAGACUCCUACGGGAGGCAGCAGUCGAGAAUAGUCUACAAUGGUCGGAAGACUGAUAGUGCGACGCCGCGUGAACGAUGAAUCCCUUCGGGGUGUAAAGUUCUUUUAUAUGUGAGCAGUGCUUCUUAUAUUAACAGUAUGGGGAGAGAGAUAUUAGCAUAUGAAUAAGCAACGGCUAACUCCGUGCCAGCAGCCGCGGUAAAAUCACG